Myotis davidii is the source of this 75-nucleotide non-coding RNA. NCBI's taxonomy places the organism in Eukaryota, Metazoa, Chordata, Mammalia, Chiroptera, Vespertilionidae. The record is from Rfam.
GACAGUUCUUGGGUGAAAUACCCCAGAAUCGGGCUCCCUUCUCUUUGGUACUGGGUGAAUCAUUCGAGAACUGCC